Sesamum indicum (sesame) is the source of this 539-nucleotide non-coding RNA. The record is from RefSeq and is a predicted model, not a curated record. Lineage: Eukaryota; Viridiplantae; Streptophyta; Magnoliopsida; Lamiales; Pedaliaceae.
UUACCCCUAAAAUCCAGUUCGCAACUGCCCCAAACUCAUCAGUAAGCGGUGCUUGCACUCGAGCGUGACAGCCCGGCCGCGUAAUUCCGGCGGUUUCAGUUCAUUAGGUUCCAUUGCUCAGCUCCUCUGCUGAAUAUCUUAAUUAAUUGGGAUUCUGUUGCUGUUCGAGAGACCGGUGAAACGUAAAUUAGUGGGGGCGAUGAAGUCUCCAAGAUGGGGUUAUUUUCGGAUUAUUACCGGUACUAUACUCGGGGGGAUUCUCGGAUUCUACUGUAUGCACCGCGCUGAACUCAAGUACAAGGAGAUGUGGAACGAAAGAUUGAGGAAGUACGAGGAGGAACUGAAUAAAAGGAAGAAUCAAGAGGCAGCCAAUGAGUUUCAGGAGUCCCUCUAAUAUUGCCCUUUUUGUUCCGCUUACAUUCUGUGAUUUCUAUGAGUUUUUCUUUCUUGUAUCUUUUACGCAUUCAUCACUAUUAUCAAGAAUGUCGGAAAUUCUGGUGUUGAUGUUCCAAUUAAUAAUACAUAAUCUGAUGAAGCCA